RNAcentral lists this ribosomal RNA (208 nucleotides) under uncultured bacterium. RNAcentral's name for it is "partial 16S ribosomal RNA". It matches the Rfam family "Bacterial small subunit ribosomal RNA", at positions 568 to 774 of the family's 1533-position model. The record is from RNAcentral.
CUAGUAGGCGGCUUAGCAAGUCGGGUGUGAAAACUUCAGGCUCAACCUGGAGCGGCCAUCCGAUACUGCUAUGGCUAGAGUCCGGUAGGGGACCACGGAAUUCCUGGUGUAGCGGUGAAAUGCGCAGAUAUCAGGAGGAACACCGAUGGCGAAGGCAGUGGUCUGGGCCGGAACUGACGCUGAAUAGCGAAAGCGUGGGUAGCGAACA